Molecule: ribosomal RNA, 497 nt
Filed under: uncultured bacterium
Lineage: Bacteria
Description: partial 16S ribosomal RNA
Rfam family: Bacterial small subunit ribosomal RNA
Source: RNAcentral
GAUGAACGCUGGCGGCGUGCCUAAUACAUGCAAGUCGAGCGAACGGACGAGAAGCUUGCUUUUCUGAUGUUAGCGGCGGACGGGCGAGUAACACGUGGAUAACCUACCUAUAAGACUGGGAUAACUUCGGGAAACCUGAGCUAAUACCGGAUAAUAUUUUGAACCGCAUGGUUCAAAAGUGAAAGACGGUCUUGCUGUCACUUAUAGAUGGAUCCGCGCUGCAUUAGCUAGUUGGUAAGGUAACGGCUUACCAAGGCAACGAUGCAUAGCCGACCUGAGAGGGUGAUCGGCCACACUGGAACUGAGACACGGUCCAGACUCCUACGGGAGGCAGCAGUAGGGAAUCUUCCGCAAUGGGCGAAAGCCUGACGGAGCAACGCCGCGUGAGUGAUGAAGGUCUUCGGAUCGUAAAACUCUGUUAUUAGGGAAGAACAUAUGUGUAAGUAACUGUGCACAUCUUGACGGUACCUAAUCAGAAAGCCACGGCUAACUACGUG